AAAAUAAUUUCUGCUUCUAGAACAUUUAGAAAAUAUUCAGUAUUUUUGUUUUGCAACCAGUAAACAUGGCUAUCCAAACCUCACGCUGUUUUUCUUUCCCAGGCUGUUAUCAGUUGGCAGUUCUUUCAACGAAAUAUUUGUUGGCAGUUCUUUCAGUGGCUAAGAAUUUGGGCAUGGAUUUUUUUUAGAUGGCACGAUGAAUGCGCAUGGUUUUUUAGAUGACACGAUCAAUUUGGAACAGAUGGACGACUUAUGGAAAAGCAUGUGCUGCCGGAAGACAAUAGGUUGUAUUAUGCAAACAAUAGAUUUAAGAUUUGAUACCACUUCAUCUAUUAAUAAUAUGGAGCUGUGGCAGUGCUGGACUAGGCAGUCAAGUGAACGUAAAAUGUAAGGACUAUCUUUAUAUUACGUAAUAAGUUACGAAGGAUCAACGUUAUAACCUACCAAUGCCUAGCAACUUCAUUGCAGUUAAUUCUCAGACUACAUGACAGUGGUAAAUUCUGGGAUGGAUUUGUAUUCCAAGGCAACAGCUACAAUGUCUUCUCCUGUGGAAAGGGAACUCGUAUUGUUGCUAAAGUUAUGUUCGAGCAUUUCACAUUUGAAAGCUAUUAAAAUUAACUUAAAUGUGAAGGCUAAUUGGCAAGAGAAGCGAGAUACCUUAGGCACAAGACAUUUAUUAUCGGGUCUAAUUGGUGAAGGUGCUAGAAUUGCUGGAAACUAAUCUGAAGGCUGCUCGCAAUGUAUAGUGGAGAGGAUAAUUGGCAAAGGAAGUGGAUUUGUUGCCGUGGAGAUAUGAUUCAUGUCUCAUGCAAAGUGUGUUUUCAAGUUGUGACCAGAGGAGACAUGCCAACUCCCUUAUUUUUCGAGUUGUCCAUUAAUUUUAAUUUUACAAUUGAUCCGAUGCCAAAUGCUAUCUAAGCUCAUACUCCUUUUUUCUUU
Molecule: RNA transcript, 939 nt
Organism: Papaver somniferum (opium poppy)
Lineage: Eukaryota; Viridiplantae; Streptophyta; Magnoliopsida; Ranunculales; Papaveraceae
Exons: 6
Source: RefSeq, a predicted model, not a curated record